CGGGGCACCCCGAAACCCCAAAAUCAUCCCCGGGGCAACCCGAAAUCCCAAAAUCAUCCCCGGGGCACCCCAAAACCCCAAAUCCGCCUGGGGAACCCCAAAACCCCAAAAUCAUCCCCGGGGCACCUCGAAAACCCCGAAAUCAUCCCCGGGGAACCCCAAAAUCCUCCCGGGGAACCCCGAAACCCCAAAAUCAUCCCAGGGGUGCCCUGAAACCCCGAAAUCCGCCCGGGGCACCCCAAAAACCCCAAAAUCAUCCCCGGGGCACCCCAAAAUCCUCCCGGGGCACCCCGAAACCCCGAAAUCCGCCCGGGGCACCCCAAAACCCCAAAAUCAUCCCCGGGGCACCCCGAAACCCCAAAUCCGCCCGGGGCACCCCAAAACCCCAAAAUCAUCCCCGGGGCACCUCGAAACCCCAAAUCCGCCCGGGGCACCCCAAAAUCCUCCCGGGGCACUCCGAAACCCUGAAAUCCGCCUGGGGAACCCCAAAAACCCCGAAAUCAUCCCCGGGGAACCCCAAAAUCAUCCCAGGGGCACCCCGAAACCCCAAAAUCAUCCCAGGGGUGCCCUGAAACCCCGAAAUCAUCCCCGGGGCACCCCAAAAACCCCAAAAUCAUCCCCGGGGCAACCCAAAACCCCAAAUCCGCCUGGGGAACCCCAAAAACCCCAAAAUCAUCCCUGGGGAACCCCAAAAUCCGCCCGGGGAACCCCGAAACCCCGAAAUCCUCCGGGGGGCGCCACAAAAACCCCCAAAUCCGCCCGGGGCACCCCAAAACCCCAAAUCAGCCCCGGGGGCGCCCCGAAACCCCAAAAUCAUCCCCGAGGCACCCUGAAACCCCAAAUUCGCCCGGGGGCAUCCCAAAAACCCCAAAAUCAUCCCGGGGGCACCCCAAAACCCCCGGGGCACCCCAAAAAUCCCAAAAUCUGUGUAAGGUCGCCCUAAAAAAUUCGGGGGUACCCCAAAAAACCCCAAAAUCCCCCGUGGGGACCCCAAAAACACCUUGAGGGACCCCAAAAACACCCGGGGGGACCCCAAAAUCCUCCUGCGGUCAGCCCAGAACUCCCAGGAACCCCAAAUCCUUCCCCAGAUUUCCCCAGGUUUGAGGUUUUGGGGUUUUUGGGGUUCCCGAGCCCCCCUGGGGACGUUUUUGGGGGUUUUGGGGUCCCUGACCCUCUCUGGCCGAGUUUUUUGGGGCCGUUUCAGGGUUUUUGGGGUCGCUGACCCUCUCU
Molecule: long non-coding RNA, 1230 nt
Filed under: Chloebia gouldiae (Gouldian finch)
Lineage: Eukaryota; Metazoa; Chordata; Aves; Passeriformes; Passeridae
Description: Erythrura gouldiae (Gouldian finch) lncRNA (ENSEGOG00005017884.1)
Source: RNAcentral